GUGCUCACUUCGGCACCACAUCUACUAAAAUUGGAACAAUACAGAGAAAAUUAGCAUGGCCCCUGAGUAAGGAUGACACAAAAAUUCAGGAAGCAUGACAAUAAAAA
This is a small nuclear RNA of Cercocebus atys (sooty mangabey), 107 nucleotides long. NCBI's taxonomy places the organism in Eukaryota, Metazoa, Chordata, Mammalia, Primates, Cercopithecidae. The record is from Ensembl.